GGCAAGGGGGGUCGGUACUAGGCUUGCGUUCGAGCGGCAGCGGGAAAGUAGCUUGCUACUUUUGCCGGCGAGCGGCGGACGGGUGAGUAAUGCCUGGGGAUCUGCCCAGUCGAGGGGGAUAACAGUUGGAAACGACUGCUAAUACCGCAUACGCCCUACGGGGGAAAGGAGGGGACCUUCGGGCCUUUCGCGAUUGGAUGAACCCAGGUGGGAUUAGCUAGUUGGUGGGGUAAUGGCUCACCAAGGCGACGAUCCCUAGCUGGUCUGAGAGGAUGAUCAGCCACACUGGAACUGAGACACGGUCCAGACUCCUACGGGAGGCAGCAGUGGGGAAUAUUGCACAAUGGGGGAAACCCUGAUGCAGCCAUGCCGCGUGUGUGAAGAAGGCCUUCGGGUUGUAAAGCACUUUCAGCGAGGAGGAAAGGUUGACGCCUAAUACGUGUCAACUGUGACGUUACUCGCAGAAGAAGCACCGGCUAACUCCGUGCCAGCAGCCGCGGUAAUACGGAGGGUGCAAGCGUUAAUCGGAAUUACUGGGCGUAAAGCGCACGCAGGCGGUUGGAUAAGUUAGAUGUGAAAGCCCCGGGCUCAACCUGGGAAUUGCAUUUAAAACUGUCCAGCUAGAGUCUUGUAGAGGGGGGUAGAAUUCCAGGUGUAGCGGUGAAAUGCGUAGAGAUCUGGAGGAAUACCGGUGGCGAAAGCGGCCCCCUGGACAAAGACUGACGCUCAGUGCGAAAGCGUGGGGGAGCAAACAGGAUUAGAUACCCUGGUAGUCCACGCCCGUAAACGAUGUCGAUUUGGGAGGCUGUGUCGUUUGAGACGUGGCUUCCCGGAGCUAACGCGUUUAAAUCGACCGCCCUGGGGGGAGUACGGCCGCAAGGUUAAAAACUCAUAAUGAAUUGACUGGGCCCGCCACAAGCGGGUGGGAGCAUGUGGCUUUAAUUCGAAUGCCAACGGCGAAGGACUACCUGUCAUGACAUGUCUGGAAAUCUGUAAAGAAUACCGGAGUGCCUUCGGUAUCAAAACACAGGUGACUGCCAUGGCCUGGUCGUCAGCUUCGUUCAUGGAAAUGUUGGCUUAAGUUCCCGCUAG
RNAcentral lists this ribosomal RNA (1092 nucleotides) under bacterium. RNAcentral describes it as "bacterial SSU rRNA". It matches the Rfam family "Bacterial small subunit ribosomal RNA", at positions 32 to 1096 of the family's 1533-position model. The record is from RNAcentral.